AUUGAACGCUGGCGGCAGGCUUAACACAUGCAAGUCGAGCGGAGAUGAGGUGCUUGCACCUUAUCUUAGCGGCGGACGGGUGAGUAAUGCUUAGGAAUCUGCCUAUUAGUGGGGGACAACAUUCCGAAAGGAAUGCUAAUACCGCAUACGUCCUACGGGAGAAAGCAGGGGAUCUUCGGACCUUGCGCUUAUAGAUGAGCCCAGGUCGGAUUAGCUAGUUGGUGGGGUAAAGGCCUACCAAGGCGACGAUCUGUAGCGGGUCUGAGAGGCUGAUCCGCCACACUGGGACUUAGACACGGGCCGGACUCCUACGGGAAGCAGCAGUGGGGAAUAUUGGACAAUGGGGGGAACCCUGUUCUAGCCAUGCCGCGUGUGUGAAGAAGGCCUUAUGGUUGUAAAGCACUUCAAGCGAGGAGGAGACUACUGAGACUAAUACUCUUGGAUAGUGGACGUUACUCGCAGAAUAAGCACCGGCUAACUCUGUGCCAGCAACCGCCGUAA
Molecule: ribosomal RNA, 501 nt
Filed under: uncultured bacterium
Lineage: Bacteria
Description: partial 16S ribosomal RNA
Rfam family: Bacterial small subunit ribosomal RNA
Source: RNAcentral